Molecule: ribosomal RNA, 555 nt
Filed under: Bifidobacterium breve
Lineage: Bacteria; Bacillati; Actinomycetota; Actinomycetes; Bifidobacteriales; Bifidobacteriaceae
Description: bacterial SSU rRNA
Rfam family: Bacterial small subunit ribosomal RNA
Source: RNAcentral
UCUCCUGGAAACGGGUGGUAAUGCCGGAUGCUCCAUCACACCGCAUGGUGUGUUGGGAAAGCCUUUGCGGCAUGGGAUGGGGUCGCGUCCUAUCAGCUUGAUGGCGGGGUAACGGCCCACCAUGGCUUCGACGGGUAGCCGGCCUGAGAGGGCGACCGGCCACAUUGGGACUGAGAUACGGCCCAGACUCCUACGGGAGGCAGCAGUGGGGAAUAUUGCACAAUGGGCGCAAGCCUGAUGCAGCGACGCCGCGUGAGGGAUGGAGGCCUUCGGGUUGUAAACCUCUUUUGUUAGGGAGCAAGGCACUUUGUGUUGAGUGUACCUUUCGAAUAAGCACCGGCUAACUACGUGCCAGCAGCCGCGGUAAUACGUAGGGUGCAAGCGUUAUCCGGAAUUAUUGGGCGUAAAGGGCUCGUAGGCGGUUCGUCGCGUCCGGUGUGAAAGUCCAUCGCUUAACGGUGGAUCCGCGCCGGGUACGGGCGGGCUUGAGUGCGGUAGGGGAGACUGGAAUUCCCGGUGUAACGGUGGAAUGUGUAGAUAUCGGGAAGAACACCA